GGUCUGCCCCGGGAAGAGGGCGGGCGGGGGCAGCGGCGCGCGACGGGCCACGACGACUCUUGGGACCUCUGAGCGCAGGAACAGGGAAGGAGGGGGAGGGGGAGCCGAAGGGCGCGGAGCGCUGGGCCGGAGUGGCCUCCCCCUCCCCGAGGUCGGGGUCUCUUAGCCGCUAAGGAGCGGGGCUGCAGCCUCUGCAGCUGGGCUUCCCACUCUGACAGGCGCCAUUUUACCGCCCAAAGGGCUCCCUCCUCCUCUCUUCCCUCCUCCUCUUCCCCGCUGACUGUACUUCCGGUAAUGACGUGUUUUCACUUCCCCGGGAUUGAUGUUCCUUCAACUCCUUCUGACGAGGGAGGGUAGAGUUAAGGCAAGCAGAGCGCUGAAGAGGGCUGCAGCAUUGCGCACGCGCACGGGGUGAUUGCUGGGCGGACCCUGGAGCGGAGCCUCUGACGGUGUGGGCGGGGCCUAGUGACGUCAUUCGUCCCCAGGUUCGGACGUCUUGGGGAGUGGGGCUCGUGCGACCCCUGUCCCCAUCCCUCUGACAACUGUUCCAACGGCCCCUCUCGCCCCUGUCGUAGCGCAAGAAGACUGAGGAUGCCAUCUCCACGGCUGUGCGCAGAGGCUCUGGAGCGGCCCCUACGAGGGCGCCCCCGCCCCGAGAACACGGAACAUUUAAAAAAAAAAAUAGACCCUUGGCUCCAGACUCUGGGGACCUUGAAUGGCGGAAGCAAUCGUAAGCGCCCCGCCUCCUUGGUCGUGACGACAUCAGAAAGCGUCCGAAGACGUCAGAGAUGCUGGACUCGCUGUUGGCCAGCGGUGGCUUGGUGCUCCUGAGAGAUUCCGUGGAGUGGGAGGGGCGGAGUCUCCUAAAGGCGCUUCUCAAGAAAUCUGCACUUCGUGGGGAGCAGAUCCACGUUCUGGGCUGUGAAGUGAGUGAGGAAGAGUUUCGCGAAGGGUUUGGCUCUGACGUCAACAGCCGGCUGGUUUACCAUGACCUCUUUAAAGACCCUCUUAACUGGUCAAAAACUGGUGAAGCUGUCCCCGAAGGACCCCUAGGAACCUUAAGAGCCUUGUGCAGGACAGGUCCCGGCCCUGUCACCAUUGCUCUUGACUCUCUCAGCUGGCUGUUGCUUCACCUUCCCUGUGUUACACUCUGUCAAACUCUGCAUGCUCUGAGCCAUCCAAGUGUCUCCCCAGGUGCUGACCCCCUAGUAGAGCAGGUACGAGUCCUGGGCCUGCUACAUGAAGAGCUUCAUGGUCCUGGCCCCAUGGGAGCGCUGAGCACCCUUGCUCAUACAGAGGUGACUCUGAGUGGUAAAAUGGACCAGACUUCAGCCUCCAUCCUCUGUCGAAGGCCCCAACAACAUGCAACUUACCAGACUUGGUCGUUCUCCAUUCUUCCUGACUUCAGCCUGGAUCUCCAUGAGAGGCUUCCCCUCCAUUCCAAGCUACCCUCCAGUCACACAACUCAGGUGGAUCCCACGACUCAUUUGACCUUUAACCUUCACUUAUCCGAAAAAGAAAGAGAAGCCAGAGACAGCCUCACUCUGCCUUUCCAGUUCAGCUCUGAAAAGGGCUGAAGUCCGCCUCCAGAGACAACUCCAGGGAGUGGUUCUACCCACCUAGACACAAUUCCCACCAUGAUACUUCUUUCCAGUAGAUCUAUGGUCCUGGCUGAGCCAGACCAGAUGGGGAGGUGGCCCUCUUCUCCAGACAGCAAGCACUGCUGCGUUCUGGCCCAGGCCAGAAAACUAGCCACAUCUUCUAUGAGCCAGACGCUUUCGAUGAUGUGGACCAAGACGACCCAGAUGAUGACCUAGACAUUUGACUAGACAGGAGAGGAGGACUGUGGCUUAGAAUCAUCCUAUUGUGUGCAGAGACUGGUCCCUGCCCUCCCUCUGUUGAUUGUCUGUGGAGGCCCCGUCCUGUGAACCAAGGAGUAGCGUCUAAUCGGGGCAGAAAGUGUAGUGAGAGUGUCGUGUAUAGCAUGAGAACAAGAAACCUCCCUCUUCCCAUGCCUGUUUCUAAUAAACCAGAUAAGUGUGUGUGUGUAUUAAUCUAAAA
Molecule: RNA transcript, 2061 nt
Organism: Arvicola amphibius (Eurasian water vole)
Lineage: Eukaryota; Metazoa; Chordata; Mammalia; Rodentia; Cricetidae
Gene: Elp5
Gene name: elongator acetyltransferase complex subunit 5
Exons: 9
Source: RefSeq, a predicted model, not a curated record